UGAUGACGAGACGCUAAGGCGUUGAAGCAGUGUAUGUCAGACUUCCAAGAAAAGCUCGCAAUGUCACAAAUAAAGAAUGCCUGUACCAUAACCGACACAGGUGGGUAGGUAGAGUAUACCAAGGGGCGCGAGAUAACUCUCUCUAAGGAACUCGGCAAAAUGACUCCGUAACUUCGGGAGAAGGAGUGCCUUAUUUAUAAGGUUGCAAUAACAAGAUCCAAGCAACUGUUUAUCAAAAACACAGGUCUCCGCUAAGUCGUAAGACGAUGUAUGGGGGCUGACGCCUGCCCAGUGCCAGAAGGUUAAAGAAGUUGGUUAGUGUAUGCGAAGCUGAUGACUGAAGCCCUGGUGAACGGCGGCCGUAACUAUAACGGUCCUAAGGUAGCGAAAUUCCUUGUCGGGUAAGUUCCGACCCGCACGAAAGGCGUAAUGAUUUGGAUACUGUCUCGGAGAGAGGCUCGGUGAAAUAGACUUGUCUGUGAAGAUGCGGACUACCUGCACCAGGACAGAAAGACCCUAUGAAGCUUUACUGUAACUUGAAAUUGGAAUUGGACUUUGCUUGCGCAGUAUAGGUGGGAAGCGUUGAAAAUAUUCUUGCGGGAGUAUUGGAGCUAUCAGUGAGAUACCACUCUUGUAAUGUUAGAUUUCUAUCUUUGUACCAUAAUCUGGUCAAAGAACAGUUUCAGGUGGGCAGUUUGACUGGGGCGGUCGCCUCCCAAAUGGUAACGGAGGCGUACAAAGGUUUCCUCUGAACGGAUAGAAAUCGUAUCUAGAGUGUAAAGGCAUAAGGAAGCUUGACUGUGAGACCUACAAGUCGAGCAGGGACGAAAGUCGGUCUUAGUGAUCUGACGGUACUGAGUGGAAAGGCCGUCACUCAACGGAUAAAAGUUACUCUAAGGAUAACAGGCUGAUCUCCCCCAAGAGUUCACAUCGACGGGGAGGUUUGGCACCUCGAUGUCGGCUCAUCGCAUCCUGGGGCGGUAGUACGUCUCAAGGGUUGGGCUGUUCGCCCAUGAAAGCGGUACGCGAGCUGGGUUCAGAACGUCGUGAGACAGUUCGGUCCAUAUCCGGUGUAGGCGCUAGAAUAUUGAGAGGAGCCUUCUUUAGUACGAGAGGACCGAGAAGGACACACCGCUGGUGUACCAGUUAUCGUGCCAACGGUAAACGCUGGGUAGCUAUGUGUGGAGUGGAUAACCGCUGUAAGCAUCUAAGUGGGAAGCCCACCUCGAGAUGAG
Molecule: ribosomal RNA, 1235 nt
Filed under: metagenome
Description: bacterial LSU rRNA
Rfam family: Bacterial large subunit ribosomal RNA
Source: RNAcentral